UGACGGUACCUGAAGAACAAGCCACGGCUAACUACGUGCCAGCAGCCGCGGUAAUACGUAGGUGGCGAGCGUUAUCCGGAUUUACUGGGUGUAAAGGGCGUGUAGGCGGGUCUGCAAGUCGGAUGUGAAAUUCCCAGGCUUAACUUGGGCGGGUCAUCCGAAACUGCGGAUCUUGAGUACUGGAGAGGAUAGUGGAAUUCCUAGUGUAGCGGUAAAAUGCGUAGAUAUUAGNAGGAACACCAGUGGCGAAGGNGGCUAUCUGGACAGUAACUGACGCUGAGGNGCGAAAGCUAGGGUAGCGAACGGGAUUAGAUACCCCGGGUAGUCCUAGCCGUAAA
RNAcentral lists this ribosomal RNA (338 nucleotides) under uncultured bacterium. RNAcentral's name for it is "bacterial SSU rRNA". It matches the Rfam family "Bacterial small subunit ribosomal RNA", at positions 470 to 806 of the family's 1533-position model. The record is from RNAcentral.